This 429-nucleotide ribosomal RNA is filed under the name bacterium. Its description in RNAcentral is "partial 16S ribosomal RNA". It matches the Rfam family "Bacterial small subunit ribosomal RNA", at positions 355 to 776 of the family's 1533-position model. The record is from RNAcentral.
UAGGGAAUCUUCCACAAUGGACGCAAGUCUGAUGGAGCAACGCCGCGUGAGUGAAGAAGGUUUUCGGAUCGUAAAGCUCUGUUGUUGGUGAAGAAGUAUAGAGGCAGUAACUGGUCUUUAUUUGACGGUAAUCAACCAGAAAGUACCGGCUAACUACGUGCCAGCAGCCGCGGUAAUACGUAGGUGGCAAGCGUUGUCCGGAUUUAUUGGGCGUAAAGCGAGCGCAGGCGGAAUGAUAAGUCUGAUGUGAAAGCCCACGGCUCAACCGUGGAGCUGCAUCGGAAACUGUCAUUCUUGAGUGCAGAAGAGGAGAGUGGAAUUCCAUGUGUAGCGGUGGAAUGCGUAGAUAUAUGGAAGAACACCAGUGGCGAAGGCGGCUCUCUGGUCUGCAACUGACGCUGAGGCUCGAAAGCAUGGGUAGCGAACAGG